This 274-nucleotide ribosomal RNA is filed under the name uncultured bacterium. RNAcentral describes it as "partial 16S ribosomal RNA". It matches the Rfam family "Bacterial small subunit ribosomal RNA", at positions 523 to 796 of the family's 1533-position model. The record is from RNAcentral.
AUACGGAGGGUGCAAGCGUUAUUCGGAAUCACUGGGCGUAAAGGACGCGUAGGCGGGUUGGCAAGUCAGAUGUGAAAUCCUACAGCUUAACUGUAGAACUGCAUUUGAAACUGCUAACCUAGAGUAUGGGAGGGGGAGAUGGAAUUAGUGGUGUAGGGGUAAAAUCCGUAGAUAUCACUAGGAAUACCGAAAGCGAAGGCAAUCUUCUGGAACACUACUGACGCUGAGGCGCGAAAGCGUGGGGAGCAAACAGGAGUAGAAACCCCAGUAGUCC